Molecule: RNA transcript, 1267 nt
Organism: Lotus japonicus
Lineage: Eukaryota; Viridiplantae; Streptophyta; Magnoliopsida; Fabales; Fabaceae
Exons: 8
Source: RefSeq, a predicted model, not a curated record
UCGCGUUUCAUUCACGUUCUCAGUUCACACAUCUUCUCUUGCUCUGAAACUCUUCUUCUUUUUGCGAUCUCGAAACUCAUCUUCUGAACCCUAACUCAUCUUCGUUUUUAAUGAUGAAUUGAAGCCAUGGAUUGAAGACUCUCACUGAAUGAUGGAUUGAAGACUCUCAUCUUGCGAUUAUUCUUCGGUUUUUUCCGAUUCUACUUUGGUUCAGGUUAUGACACUGAUUGAUUCUAUUGGACGAUUUGGUACUCUCUAGAGACGGAGGAAGAUCGUAUUGCAAAAAUGGAACUUGCUAACUAUGAGAUGCCAAAGGCCUUUUUCUGAAGCUGGUGAUGAAGUCAAUGUUCAUUAUACUGGAACAUUGCUUGAUGGCACCAAAUUUGAUUCCAGCAGACAUAGGAGAAUCCCUUUCAAUUUCACUCUUGGACAAGAUGAUAUUGUCUUAUAGCCCUGUUGCUCAAUUUUCCCUUUUUCUGGUUCAGUAGACUGAUUUUCAUCUUGUUGGAGCCUUGGAAUUGCUUAGAAUUCUCAUAGACAAGGGACAAACAUAUAUCGGUGUAAUUAAGUUAAACAGAGAUGGCCAUGGUGCUCACCAAAAAAAGUGCUUGUAUUUUGCUUGUUCUUCUUUGUGCUGCCUGGCUAUCCUCUGCUAGGUUGAGCCCCACAGGUGCUACAGAUUUUGAAAUUUCUGAUAGGAAGGCAAGCAUUGAUGCAGCUAGUGCUACAAAAAGUACUAGGGUGAAAAUCAUAGCUGAUCAGGGGAACUUGAACAAACCAAAUGCUAUGCAACUUGUGAAGAAAUCUGGAAAGUUUAAGCCUGCUUCCAGUGUUAGUGUGAGAAGCCGUUUGCUUGAUGAAGAUUCGGGUUUUGUGGCUUUCAGUGCUGAUUAUCAUCGACCAUCGCACCACCCACCUAAGAAUAACAAGUGAAUUCAAUUCAAAGUUUCACCUUAUCAAUUAUGGAAGAUCUUUUAGGUGCAUUUUUGUUCAUGUUGUUGCUUUACCAUAUGCUUUCUGUCACUGAAAUGAGUGCUUAUAUGUGUAAGUUCAUAGGUUAUAUAAAAGUGCUUCUUACAAAUCAAGUUGGAGAAGCAUUUGCAAAUUAUUAGUAAAAUUAAGAGUCUCAUUCUCAUUCCCUAGUGUUUUUGUAAACCGUAUAAUUGAUGUUGUCCCAGAGUUUCUCUCUGUCCAUUACAAAAAGAAGUCAUGUAUUAGUAUGUCGUGUUUUAUUGAUACUAUUCACUAUUCAGUUAAGUUAUGAAAA